This 445-nucleotide ribosomal RNA is filed under the name uncultured bacterium. Its description in RNAcentral is "partial 16S ribosomal RNA". It matches the Rfam family "Bacterial small subunit ribosomal RNA", at positions 354 to 796 of the family's 1533-position model. The record is from RNAcentral.
GUGAGGAAUAUUGGUCAAUGGGCGGGAGCCUGAACCAGCCAAGUCGCGUGAAGGAAGAAGGAUCUAUGGUUCGUAAACUUCUUUUGCAGGGGAAUAAAGUGCAGGACGUGUCCUGUUUUGUAUGUACCCUGAGAAUAAGGAUCGGCUAACUCCGUGCCAGCAGCCGCGGUAAUACGGAGGAUCCGAGCGUUAUCCGGAUUUAUUGGGUUUAAAGGGUGCGUAGGUGGUUUGAUAAGUCAGCGGUGAAAGUUUGCAGCUUAACUGUAAAAAUGCCGUUGAAACUGUCGGACUUGAGUGUAAAUGAGGUAGGCGGAAUGCGUGGUGUAGCGAUGAAAUGCAUAGAUAUCACGCAGAACUCCGAUUGCGAAGGCAGCUUACUAAGCUACAACUGACACUGAAGCACGAAAGCGUGGGGAUCAAACAGGAUUAGAUACCCCAGUAGUCC